This 426-nucleotide ribosomal RNA is filed under the name uncultured bacterium. RNAcentral describes it as "bacterial SSU rRNA". It matches the Rfam family "Bacterial small subunit ribosomal RNA", at positions 355 to 773 of the family's 1533-position model. The record is from RNAcentral.
UGGGGAAUUUUGGACAAUGGGCGCAGGCCUGAUCCAGCCAUUCCGCGUGCAGGAUGAAGGCCCUCGGGUUGUAAACUGCUUUUGUACGGAACGAAACGGUGCUCUCUAAUACAGGGCGCUAAUGACGGUACCGUAAGAAGAAGCCCCGGCUAACUUCGUGCCAGCAGCCGCGGUAAUACGAAGGGGGCGAGCGUUGUUCGGAUUUACUGAGCGUAAAGGGCGCGCAGGCGGUUCUGUUUGUCGAGUGUGAAAGCCCCGGGCUCAACCUGGGAACUGCGCUCGAAACGGCAGAACUAGAGUUCGGGAGAGGAGAGUGGAAUUCCCAGUGUAGAGGUGAAAUUCGUAGAUAUUGGGAAGAACACCGGUGGCGAAGGCGGCUCUCUGGACCGAUACUGACGCUGAGGCGCGAAAGCGUGGGGAGCAAAC